RNAcentral lists this ribosomal RNA (249 nucleotides) under uncultured bacterium. Its description in RNAcentral is "partial 16S ribosomal RNA". It matches the Rfam family "Bacterial small subunit ribosomal RNA", at positions 528 to 776 of the family's 1533-position model. The record is from RNAcentral.
UAGGGUGCGAGCUUUGUCCGGAAUUAUUGGGCGUAAAGAGCUUGUAGGUGGUUUGUCGCGUCUGCUGUGAAAAUCCGAGGCUCAACCUCGGACUUGCAGUGGGUACGGGCAGACUAGAGUGUGGUAGGGGAGACUGGAAUUCCUGGUGUAGCGGUGGAAUGCGCAGAUAUCAGGAGGAACACCGAUGGCGAAGGCAGGUCUCUGGGCCAUUACUGACACUGAGAAGCGAAAGCAUGGGGAGCGAACAGG